Etheostoma spectabile (orangethroat darter) is the source of this 272-nucleotide long non-coding RNA. RefSeq lists it as uncharacterized. The transcript is spliced from 3 exons. The record is from RefSeq and is a predicted model, not a curated record. Lineage: Eukaryota; Metazoa; Chordata; Actinopteri; Perciformes; Percidae.
CCAGACUGCAGACUGGACACUCUCAGGGUGGACCAUGGUGGACCACAGAGACUGAGACCUGGUCUGAGGAAGUAUGUCUGUGAACUGAACUGGACACAACACAGUACACAGAGAGCCAAAUUUGUUCCUGACAACAACAGGAAGUGACAGAUGUGGAGGGAGGAUCAGUCAUAUCCUGAUCAUCGAGACAGAUUUGACUACUGGCGUCAGCUGCUGUGUAGAGAUGGUCUGACUGGUCGCUGUUCUGGGGAGGUCGAGAGGAGAGGAAGGUU